Coffea arabica (coffee) is the source of this 1226-nucleotide non-coding RNA. The record is from RefSeq and is a predicted model, not a curated record. NCBI's taxonomy places the organism in Eukaryota, Viridiplantae, Streptophyta, Magnoliopsida, Gentianales, Rubiaceae.
GCCGCUUCUCUCUUCCAACACUUAGACAAAUUUCAUUCUCAAUCUUUCCUUCCUAUGGUGAACACCGAAAAACUCUGGACCUCUAACACCGUCUGCUUCCGCAAAAUGCUCCUCUAAAGCACCAUUGACGAGUGCCAAUCUUCAGGUCAAGCUCGCCGAAGAAGCGAAGUCAGAACACUUCCAAGCUCCCUCCUCGUUCCGCGACUUUAGUUUAGACUUUUCUCCGACCCCCUUUUCAGCUAAUUGUGCGUGGGGAAGAUAAUACUCUUGGCCAAAUCGCAUCCGAAACACUUGCGAUCUGGAGUAUUAACAGUGUUAGGGAUGGUCAGAACCGGCUUUCUUUGAGGAGCUAUGAAAUGCGAACAUAUUUUGACUGCAUUAAUUUGGUUGGAUGAAAGAAAAAAAGGAGAGGAGGUCUUCGGCUGAACGGAAAAAGGGAGGAGGUUUGGAGAAAGGAAAAAGAAAACAGAGCAAAAAGAGAGAGAGAGAGCCAGAGAGUAGACGGAAGAAAAAUUGAAAAAAGAGGGGUGGAAAAAGGGAAGAGCUUCGACAAGAAAACAGAGCAAAGAAAAACCAAGAAUCGAAGGAAUCAGCAAGGAGUUGCUGUUGCCGCUGCUGCCACCAGAAUCCACCACCACCACCUGCAAGUCCUCACCGCAAAAGCUUGGACAUGGAUAAAACUUGGAUGAAGAUUAGCAAUAGGAAGGACAAGGCUUAUGAACUCGGAAGUCCAAACUUCUUGUUGUUUGUAUUAGUUUAAUUUCAUCGGUCAGCCCUCUGAUGUUGUCAUCUCGUAGUCUCUUUCCUGAACUGUUAUAUUUUGUCUUCCUUCUUACUCGUCAAGCCUAUUCAAGGAUGUCAAACCAGAAUUGAUGGUAUAACACUAAUCUAGCCAUAACGUACUGUCAAGGCAUUUUAGAUGGCGAUGACCUUUUCUUUGGUUCUAACACGAUUCCCAAGAAGAAGAAGCCAGUCAUUGCUGUGAAGAUGGUUUUUGAAUUGAAGACUACAAGGCCUAUCGUGCUCAUGUUUUGUUCUAGAUGGGAAUCGUGCUCAUAUUUUUGUAUAGAACUUUACUACUCUCUAUUGUGGAUGGGAAAUCACUAGUAUUGUAACUGAAUGGCUUAUUUUGGAUGGUGCAUGGUUUAUGACUCAUUUGAGGCAACAUUUAUAUAUAUAUGUAUUUCGGUUGAUCUUCUAUUGGAAAUGAAUGUUGGUUUUCUUUU